RNAcentral lists this ribosomal RNA (429 nucleotides) under bacterium. RNAcentral's name for it is "partial 16S ribosomal RNA". It matches the Rfam family "Bacterial small subunit ribosomal RNA", at positions 355 to 776 of the family's 1533-position model. The record is from RNAcentral.
UAGGGAAUCUUCCACAAUGGACGCAAGUCUGAUGGAGCAACGCCGCGUGAGUGAAGAAGGUUUUCGGAUCGUAAAGCUCUGUUGUUGGUGAAGAAGGAUAGAGGCAGUAACUGGUCUUUAUUUGACGGUAAUCAACCAGAAAGUCACGGCUAACUACGUGCCAGCAGCCGCGGUAAUACGUAGGUGGCAAGCGUUGUCCGGAUUUAUUGGGCGUAAAGCGAGCGCAGGCGGAAUGAUAAGUCUGAUGUGAAAGCCCCCGGCUCAACCGUGGAACUGCAUCGGAAACUGUCAUUCUUGAGUGCAGAAGAGGAGAGUGGAAUUCCAUGUGUAGCGGUGGAAUGCGUAGAUAUAUGGAAGAACACCAGUGGCGAAGGCGGCUCUCUGGUCUGCAACUGACGCUGAGGCUCGAAAGCAUGGGUAGCGAACAGG